This is a non-coding RNA of Mycena crocata, 94 nucleotides long. Lineage: Eukaryota; Fungi; Basidiomycota; Agaricomycetes; Agaricales; Mycenaceae. The record is from the annotation of a GenBank genome assembly.
GCCCUCGUGGAUCAGCGGUUAGAUCCUCUUCUAUCUAUGAUUGGGAAUAUAGAUUCUUCCGAAGAAGUCGUGAGUUCGAACCUCACCGAGGGCA